This 127-nucleotide small RNA is filed under the name Marmota monax (woodchuck). Lineage: Eukaryota; Metazoa; Chordata; Mammalia; Rodentia; Sciuridae. The record is from RNAcentral.
GCUAGGCAUGGUAGCCCAUGCCUGUAAUCCCAGCUGCUUGGGAGGCUGAGGCAGGAGGAUCUGGAGUUCAAAGCCAGCCUUAGCACUCUAGCGAGGCCCUAAGCAACUUAAGGAGACCCUGUCUUUA